AGAGUUUGAUCCUGGCUCAGAUUGAACGCUGGCGGAAUGCUUUACACAUGCAAGUCGAACGGCAGCACGGGUGCUUGCACCUGGUGGCGAGUGGCGAACGGGUGAGUAAUACCUAGGAGCAUGUCCAGUAGUGGGGGAUAACGCAGCGAAAGCUGUGCUAAUACCGCAUACGAUCUCUGGAUGAAAGCGGGGGACUCGCAAGAGCCUCGCGCGAUUGGAGCGGCCGAUAUCAGAUUAGCUAGUUGGUGGGGUAAAAGCCCACCAAGGCGACGAUCUGUAGCUGGUCUGAGAGGACGACCAGCCACACUGGAACUGAGACACGGUCCAGACUCCUACGGGAGGCAGCAGUGGGGAAUUUUGGACAAUGGGCGCAAGCCUGAUCCAGCAAUGCCGCGUGCAGGAUGAAGGCCUUCGGGUUGUAAACUGCUUUUGUACGGAACGAAACGGUCCUUUCUAAUACAAGGGACUAAUGACGGUACCGUAAGAAUAAGCACCGGCUAACUACGUGCCAGCAGCCGCGGUAAUACGUAGGGUGCGAGCGUUAAUCGGAAUUACUGGGCGUAAAGCGUGCGCAGGCGGUUAUAUAAGACAGAUGUGAAAUCCCCGGGCUCAACCUGGGACCUGCAUUUGUGACUGUAUAGCUAGAGUACGGUAGAGGGGGAUGGAAUUCCGCGUGUAGCAGUGAAAUGCGUAGAUAUGCGGAGGAACACCGAUGGCGAAGGCAAUCCCCUGGACCUGUACUGACGCUCAUGCACGAAAGCGUGGGGAGCAAACAGGAUUAGAUACCCUGGUAGUC
RNAcentral lists this ribosomal RNA (796 nucleotides) under uncultured bacterium. Its description in RNAcentral is "bacterial SSU rRNA". It matches the Rfam family "Bacterial small subunit ribosomal RNA", at positions 8 to 795 of the family's 1533-position model. The record is from RNAcentral.